CCUACGGGAGGCAGCAGUGAGGAAUAUUGGUCAAUGGACGAGAGUCUGAACCAGCCAAGUAGCGUGAAGGAUGACUGCCCUAUGGGUUGUAAACUUCUUUUAUAUGGGAAUAAAAUGUUCCAAGUGUGGGAGUUUGUAUGUACCAUAUGAAUAAGGAUCGGCUAACUCCGUGCCAGCAGCCGCGGUAAUACGGAGGAUCCGAGCGUUAUCCGGAUUUAUUGGGUUUAAAGGGAGCGUAGGUGGAUUGUUAAGUCAGUUGUGAAAGUUUGCGGCUCAACCGUAAAAUUGCAGUUGAAACUGGCAGUCUUGAGUACAGUAGAGGUGGGCGGAAUUCGGGGUGUAGCGGUGAAAUGCUUAGAUAUCACGAAGAACUCCGAUUGCGAAGGCAGCUCACUGGACUGCAACUGACACUGAGGCUCGAAAGUGUGGGUAUCAAACAGGAUUAGAUACCCUAGUAGUC
RNAcentral lists this ribosomal RNA (460 nucleotides) under uncultured bacterium. RNAcentral's name for it is "partial 16S ribosomal RNA". It matches the Rfam family "Bacterial small subunit ribosomal RNA", at positions 338 to 795 of the family's 1533-position model. The record is from RNAcentral.